RNAcentral lists this ribosomal RNA (459 nucleotides) under uncultured bacterium. Its description in RNAcentral is "partial 16S ribosomal RNA". It matches the Rfam family "Bacterial small subunit ribosomal RNA", at positions 338 to 795 of the family's 1533-position model. The record is from RNAcentral.
CCUACGGGAGGCAGCAGUGAGGAAUAUUGGUCAAUGGGAGAGAUCCUGAACCAGCCAAGCCGCGUGAGGGAAGACGGCCCUAUGGGUUGUAAACCUCUUUUGUCGGAGAACAAAACCCGGGACGAGUCCCGGACUGCGUGUAUCCGAAGAAAAAGCAUCGGCUAACUCCGUGCCAGCAGCCGCGGUAAUACGGAGGAUGCGAGGGUUAUCCGGAUUUAUUGGGUUUAAAGGGUGCGUAGGCGGUCUGUUAAGUCAGCGGUAAAAUGGCGGGGCUCAACCCCGUCGAGCCGUUGAAACUGGCAGACUUGAGUUGGCGAGAAGUACGCGGAAUGCGCGGGGUAGCGGUGAAAUGCAUAGAUAUCGCGCAGAACUCCGAUUGCGAAGGCAGCGUACCGGCGCCAGACUGACGCUGAGGCACGAAAGCGUGGGGAUCGAACAGGAUUAGAUACCCUGGUAGUC